CCCUUAGAUGUUCUGGGCCGCACGCGCGCUACACUGAGUGGAUCAGCGGGUCAGGUUGCGCGAAAGUGUUUCCUAAUCUUGAAAUCCGCUCGUGAUGGGGAUUGACGGUUGCAAUUUUCCGUCAUGAACGAGGAAUACCUUGUAAGCGCGGGUCAUCAUCCCGCGCUGAAUACGUCCCUGCCCUUUGUACACACCGCCCGUCGCUCCUACCGAUUGAGUGGUCCGGUGAGGCUUUGGGAUCUGAGCAAAGAGAGCGUUUCGCUCGUUUUGCCCGGAAAACUCAGUCGAACCUUAUCAUUUAGAGGAAGGAGAAGUCGUAACA
Molecule: ribosomal RNA, 322 nt
Filed under: uncultured eukaryote
Lineage: Eukaryota
Description: partial 18S ribosomal RNA
Rfam family: Eukaryotic small subunit ribosomal RNA
Source: RNAcentral